UCUUGGGUAGUGAUUAUUACUUGGACUGGCUAUCGUCAAGUCUGUAUACUAUCUUGCUACUUGCUGAGUUUAACAUGGUGAACUUGUCCUUAAUUUACAAACAAAAGAAUUACCAAAAUUAUACAUGGAAAUGUUAAUCAUUCUAAUGCGGUGCCACCGCAUCUACUUAUCUUGAGCUGCUGAUCUUGGACCACAUAGAGGAAGCUUGAGCUGGAUUUCACAUGGCGUCUCUUAGACCUGCUGCUCCUCUUGAUUCUCUAACAUCUAAUUCUAAACCUCCCACUCAACAACAACACUCUACCACCAUGUCUAAUGAUAAGGUACAAUGGAGAACCUCCACUGCUUAGGAAGCUGAUUUCUCAGGGUGCUAUUAACAAAAAGUUCAACGUUGAAGUUUAUCCUCUAUCUCUAAAGCUAACAGAUUCCAGGGACAAUCGUCAAUCUGAAGUGUCAGUAAGAAGGUUAACAUUGCAAUUCACCAGGGUUUGAUGUAGUGUUGAUUAUGGUUUGAUGAUGUUAAAGGGCGAGAGUUUUUGGAUAUUACUUCUGGGAUUGCUGCUAAUGCCCUUGGUCAUGGUGAUCCUGAUUGAGUUCGAGCCGUUUCUAAUCAGGCCCGUACAUUGGCCCAUGUUAGCAACAUUUUCUAAACCGUUCCCAUGGUAUACCGAGCACUUCCCGGAGGAGACAUUUCAGUUACAGAGGUUUAUAGCCGCAAUAGGACAAUAGCUGAUGGAAGUACAGUCCAAAAUAGCAAAUGGUUUUGUUGUUGAGAUCACGAAUGAGCUUGACGGGCCAUCUAAUUUUGACAUGAAACGAUUUGGUGAUACAAUGCAAUGCAUGUUUAAGGAUGUACAAAGGGGUCUUGAAGUACGGGUUUCUCGGAUUAUUGGUGAUCUUGAAGGUACAUUGGCUUAUGAGGGAAUUCAUCUUGAAUCAAUUUAAUUCUCUACGAUCACUUUAAAUCAGAUACUUCCUCCAUUCAGUUUUACUCGCAACGUUUGUCAUUUUCACGCAUGCCAAUGCACAACUUUGAUUAUUAAUAUCUUUAAAUCCCUUUAAUUAAAAAUUAUAAAAAGUUGAUUUUUUGAAAAUACACAUUGAGACGAAUCUAACAAGAUCCAACAACGCUAUAUUUUAUCUUACAUACAAAUCACCAACAAUAGUCAAAGUAGAAUAUUGAAUAGUGUUAAAUGUCUAACCGUUGCGAGUAUAAAUAAUCGGAGGAAAUAUAAUAUAUGCACUUAUUUUGAAACAAUUGAUGUCCACAAGACGACAGGGGCGGUGUCACUAAGGGUUUAGUGGGUUACUGAACCCUUACUGGACCAGAAAAAACCCGUCAUAUUUUAUAUAUAUAUAUAUUCUAACAUCUGAUAAUCCCCUAAUGCAUUAAGUCAUCCCUCUAUGGACUAAGAAGAACCCUUCGACAUGUGAGCAUCAUUUAAUUUCAGCAAUUUUAUGUGGAUCAUUGCCUACCCAAAAUUGAAAAAAUAUACUAUUAAAACAAGAACCAUUUUCCUAUAAAAGUUUCACGGUUAGGAUUUUCAUAAACAUUGAAAUUAUACCUCAAAGGCUGGCGCACAACCAGAAAUAGUUUGUUAUUCUAUGUUUUGACUUUCUCAAGUGCAUAAACAAUGUGAUCCCAAACUUCUGAUGCCCAAUUCAUGGACUCAAAUACUUCAUCCUUUACAAAUGUUUGCAAGACCACAAUACAAUUAUUGUCAGUGCUUGGUAGUAAAAACUGAUCCAAGAUGUAAUAGCGCAGAAGUUUUGUGUAUUCCAACUUGUUUGUUUAAUUAAUCUUGAUGCCCAUCAGAAUAUUCUUUAACUCCUUGUGAGUUAACUUCUUCUUUCUGUUUCCAUUCUUUAUCUUCUCAAUGAAAGUCGAAAAGGAAGAAGAAUCUUUUGAGGUCGGAACAUAUUUUCGACUUUUCCCAGUGUUCUUUAUCCCGAGCACAUGAGCAGCUUCACAUGCACAAAUGUGAAGUACAUUUUGUCAUUCAACACAAACAUCUUGC
Spinacia oleracea (spinach) is the source of this 2015-nucleotide long non-coding RNA. RefSeq lists it as uncharacterized. The record is from RefSeq and is a predicted model, not a curated record. The transcript is spliced from 4 exons. Lineage: Eukaryota; Viridiplantae; Streptophyta; Magnoliopsida; Caryophyllales; Amaranthaceae.